This is a long non-coding RNA of Cotesia glomerata, 577 nucleotides long. RefSeq lists it as uncharacterized. NCBI's taxonomy places the organism in Eukaryota, Metazoa, Arthropoda, Insecta, Hymenoptera, Braconidae. The transcript has 3 exons. The record is from RefSeq and is a predicted model, not a curated record.
GAAACGCACGCGGCUCACCGAGCGGCCGUUCGAGUGUAUACCUACACGACGAAUCAUUCUCAUCACCACGCGUUCACCUCUACAGACAUACUUCAUAUCUAUAGAUAUAUAUGCUUUACUCUUACUCUCUUGCUCUUUCCCCUGGUGUAAGAGUGUUCGCGACUCCCGCCGUCAACCACCACAGAUAUUUAAUACAUACAUGUACAUUAUCUUUACUUCUUCAUACAUGUCUGGCUGUCUAUCUCCUUUCUACUGACGAUCUUACUCUUACUUGCGCUUCCAUUCUGUUCUCCCUCGGCGGAUCACUCGAUUCUAUCUUCUAUGAUGUGCCAGGAGAUACACUCGAGAUAGUCCAUCAAUGCAGACAACGCCGAAAUUCAUUUCCAGAACAGAUAUUUGAUUAAUUUCAAUGUUAUCCUCUGCAUCGAUAACCUCUUGCCCGGCAAUUUUUCGUCCGUUGCCCAUUCCCAUUGCCAAUAUAUUAUUUUAUAUAUGGAUAUUUCUAUUUAGAGUGAAUUUAUACCGUCAAAUUCUGUAACUUGACGUUUAGCUAAACGUUAAAUGUUUUGUUUUGUUA